RNAcentral lists this ribosomal RNA (506 nucleotides) under uncultured bacterium. Its description in RNAcentral is "partial 16S ribosomal RNA". It matches the Rfam family "Bacterial small subunit ribosomal RNA", at positions 30 to 523 of the family's 1533-position model. The record is from RNAcentral.
AUUGAACGCUGGCGGCAGGCCUAACACAUGCAAGUCGGACGGUAGCACAGAGGAGCUUGCUCCUCGGGUGACGAGUGGCGGACGGGUGAGUAAUGUCUGGGGAUCUGCCCGAUAGAGGGGGAUAACCACUGGAAACGGUGGCUAAUACCGCAUAACGUCGCAAGACCAAAGAGGGGGACCUUCGGGCCUCUCACUAUCGGAUGAACCCAGAUGGGAUUAGCUAGUAGGCGGGGUAAUGGCCCACCUAGGCGACGAUCCCUAGCUGGUCUGAGAGGAUGACCAGCCACACUGGAACUGAGACACGGUCCAGACUCCUACGGGAGGCAGCAGUGGGGAAUAUUGCACAAUGGGCGCAAGCCUGAUGCAGCCAUGCCGCGUGUAUGAAGAAGGCCUUCGGGUUGUAAAGUACUUUCAGCGGGGAGGAAGGCGAUGUGGUUAAUAACCUUGUCGAUUGACGUUACCCGCAGAAGAAGCACCGGCUAACUCCGUGCCAGCCGCCGCCGUAA